UAAGCGGAGGAAAAGAAACUAACAAGGAUUCCCCUAGUAACUGCGAGUGAAGCGGGAAAAGCUCAAANUAAANUCUGGCGGUCUUUGGCCGUCCGAGUUGUAAUUUAGAGAAGCGUCUUCCGCGCUGGACCGUGCACAAGUCUCCUGGAAUGGAGCGUCAUAGAGGGUGAGAAUCCCGUCUUUGGCACGGAUGCCUGGUGCUUCUGUGAUGCGCUCUCGAAGAGUCGAGUUGUUUGGGAAUGCAGCUCAAAAUGGGUGGUGAACUCCAUCUAAAGCUAAAUAUUGGCGAGAGACCGAUAGCGAACAAGUACCGUGAGGGAAAGAUGAAAAGCACUUUGGAAAGAGAGUGAAACAGUACGUGAAAUUGUUGAAAGGGAAACGCUUGAAGUCAGUCGCGUCGACCGAGACUCAGCCUUGCCUUGGCUUGGUGUACUUCUCGGCCCGACGGGUCAGCAUCAAUUUUGCCCCUCGGAUAAUGGCAGGGGAAAGGUGGCACCUUUACGGGUGUGUUAUAGUCUCCUGUCGAAUGCGAGGGGUGGGAUUGAGGAACUCAGCGCGCACCUCAGUGUCGGGGCUUCGGCCCACGUCACGCGCUUAGGAUGCUGGCGUAAUGGCUUUAAACGACC
This 626-nucleotide ribosomal RNA is filed under the name uncultured Russulaceae. RNAcentral's name for it is "LSU rRNA". It matches the Rfam family "Eukaryotic large subunit ribosomal RNA", at positions 47 to 649 of the family's 3401-position model. The record is from RNAcentral. Lineage: Eukaryota; Fungi; Basidiomycota; Agaricomycetes; Russulales; Russulaceae.